Molecule: ribosomal RNA, 457 nt
Filed under: uncultured bacterium
Lineage: Bacteria
Description: SSU rRNA
Rfam family: Bacterial small subunit ribosomal RNA
Source: RNAcentral
AGGAUGAACGCUGGCGGCGUGCCUAAUACAUGCAAGUCGAGCGGUAAGGCCCCUUCGGGGGUACACGAGCGGCGGACGGCUGAGUAACACGUAGGAACGUACCCCAAAGUGAGGGAUAAGCACCAGAAAUGGUGUCUAAUACCGCAUGUGCUCUUCGGAGGAAAGCUUCGGCGCUUUGGGAACGGCCUGCGCAUGAUUAGCUUGUUGGUGAGGUAAUGGCUCACCAAGGCGACGAUCAUUAGCUGGUCUGAGAGGAUGAUCAGCCAGACUGGGACUGAGAACGGCCCAGACUCCUACGGGAGGCAGCAGUAGGGAAUUUUCCACAAUGGGCGAAAGCCUGAUGGAGCAACGCCGCGUGCAGGAUGAAGGCCUUCGGGUUGUAAACUGUCUUUUAUAUGUGACGAAUAUGACGGUAGCAUAUGAAUAAGGAUCGGCUAACGUCCGUGCCAGCAGCCGC